CAGCCGCCGCGGUAAAACGGAGGGUGCAAGCGUUAAUCGGAAUUACUGGGCGUAAAGCGCACGCAGGCGGUCUGACAAGUCAGAUGUGAAAUCCCCGGGCUUAACCUGGGAACUGCAUUUGAAACUGUCAGGCUGGAGUCUUGUAGAGGGGGGUGGAAUUCCAGGUGUAGCGGUGAAAUGCGUAGAGAUCUGGAGGAAUACCGGUGGCGAAGGCGGCCCCCUGGACAAAGACUGACGCUCAGGUGCGAAAGCGUGGGGAGCAAACAGGAUUAGAUACCCGUGUAGUCCCUGUCUCUUAUAC
This 301-nucleotide ribosomal RNA is filed under the name uncultured bacterium. RNAcentral describes it as "partial 16S ribosomal RNA". It matches the Rfam family "Bacterial small subunit ribosomal RNA", at positions 509 to 807 of the family's 1533-position model. The record is from RNAcentral.